AAACUCAAAUGAAUUGACGGGGCCCGCACAAGCAGCGGAGCGUGUGGUUUAAUUCGAUGCUACACGAAGAACCUUACCAGGGUUUGACAUGUUAGUUGUAGGGAACUGAAAAGGGACCGACCCUUCGGGGAGCUAACACAGGUGCUGCAUGGCUGUCGUCAGCUCGUGUCGUGAGAUGUUCGGUUAAGUCCGCUAACGAGCGCAACCCUCGCCGUGUGUUAUAAGUGUCACGCGGGACCGCCGGUCUUAAGCCGGAGGAAGGUGGGGAUGACGUCAAGUCAGCAUGGCCUUUAUGUCCUGGGCUACACACACGCUACAAUGGCCAGUACAAUUGGUAGCGAAGUCGCGAGGCGGAGCCAAUCCGUAAAAGCUGGCCUCAGUUCAGAUUGCAGGCUGCAACCCGCCUGCAUGAAGAUGGAGUUGCUAGUAACCGCAGGUCAGCAAUACUGCGGUCGAAUACGUUCCCGGGCCUU
Molecule: ribosomal RNA, 473 nt
Filed under: uncultured Anaerolineaceae bacterium
Lineage: Bacteria; Bacillati; Chloroflexota; Anaerolineae; Anaerolineales; Anaerolineaceae
Description: bacterial SSU rRNA
Rfam family: Bacterial small subunit ribosomal RNA
Source: RNAcentral